RNAcentral lists this non-coding RNA (289 nucleotides) under Phascolarctos cinereus (koala). The record is from RNAcentral. Lineage: Eukaryota; Metazoa; Chordata; Mammalia; Diprotodontia; Phascolarctidae.
ACCAGGUAUGGUGGCAUACACCUGUAAUAUCCGCUAUUAGAGAGACUGAGGCUUGCUUGAGCUCAGGAGUUCUGAGCCGCAAUAGGGCUAAAGCUGCUCAGGUAUCUGCACUAAGGCUGACAGCCAUAUGGUGGGCCUUCGGGAGCAGUGAAACACCAGGCUACUUAAGGAGGAGCUAACCAGCCAUGGCUGGAAAUGCAGCAGGUCAAAGCUUCCAUGCCAAUCAUCAGUGAGGCCCAACCCAUGAGUGGCUGCUGUACUUUCAGGUUGGGAAAAAUAGGAAGCACAA